Molecule: ribosomal RNA, 406 nt
Filed under: uncultured bacterium
Lineage: Bacteria
Description: partial 16S ribosomal RNA
Rfam family: Bacterial small subunit ribosomal RNA
Source: RNAcentral
AUUGAACGCUGGCGGCAGGCCUAACACAUGCAAGUCGAACGAGUGGCGGACGGGUGAGUAAUGUCUGGGAAACUGCCUGAUGGAGGGGGAUAACUACUGGAAACGGUAGCUAAUACCGCAUACCAUCGGAUGUGCCCAGAUGGGAUUGGAUUGUUGGUGGGGUAAAGGCUCACCAAGGCGACGAUCCCUAGCUGGUCUGAGAGGAGGACCAGCCAAACUGGAACUGAGACACGGUCCAGACUCCUACGGGAGGCAGCAGUGGGGAAUAUUGCACAAGGGGCGCAAGCCUGAUGCAGCCAUGCCGCGUGUAUGAAGAAGGGCUUCGGGUUGUAAAGUACUUUCAGUGGGGAGGCGUUAUCCGAAGAAGAAGCACCGGCUAACUCCGUGCCAGCAGCCGCGGUAAUUC